AGCUCCAAUAGCGUAUAUUAAAGUUGUUGCAGUUAAAAAGCUCGUAGUUGGAUUUUGGGGCGGGGUGAACGGUCGGCCUAUUGGUAUGUACUGUUUGCUACGUCCUUCCUUCUGGGGACCUUCUCUGCUCUUGAAUGAGUGGGGUGUGGGACGCAGAUCUUUUACUUUGAAAAAAUUAGAGUGUUCAAAGCAGGCAUUUGCUCUGAAUACAUUAGCAUGGAAUAAUGGAAUAGGACUUUGGUUCUAUUUUGUUGGUUUCUAGGACCGAAGUAAUGAUUAAUAGGGAUGGUUGGGGGCGUUCGUAUUGCGUUGUCAGAGGUGAAAUUCUUGGAUUUGCGCAAGACGAACUUCUGCGAAAGCAUCCGCCAAGGACGUUUUCAUUA
This 383-nucleotide ribosomal RNA is filed under the name Roombia sp. RNAcentral's name for it is "partial small subunit ribosomal RNA". It matches the Rfam family "Eukaryotic small subunit ribosomal RNA", at positions 587 to 975 of the family's 1831-position model. Lineage: Eukaryota; Cryptophyceae; Kathablepharidacea; Katablepharidaceae. The record is from RNAcentral.